ACACGGGGGGCGCAAGCGUUAUUCGGAAUUAUUGGGCGUAAAGGGCGUGUAGGCGGUUUUAUCGGUCAGAUGUGAAAGCCCAGGGCUCAACCCUGGACGUGCAUUUGAAACAGUAAGACUUGAGUACGGUAGAGGAAAGCGGAAUUCCUGGUGUAGAGGUGAAAUUCGUAGAUAUCAGGAGGAACACCGAUGGCGAAGGCAGCUUUCUGGACCGAAACUGACGCUGAUGCGCGAAGGCGUGGGUAGCGAACAGGAUUAGAUACCCCUGUAGUCC
This 274-nucleotide ribosomal RNA is filed under the name uncultured bacterium. Its description in RNAcentral is "partial 16S ribosomal RNA". It matches the Rfam family "Bacterial small subunit ribosomal RNA", at positions 523 to 796 of the family's 1533-position model. The record is from RNAcentral.